AACACAUGCAAGUCGAACGAACCCUUCGGGGUUAGUGGCGCACGGGUGCGUAACGCGUGGGAAUCUGCCCUUAGCUUCGGAAUAACUCAGGGAAACUUGUGCUAAUACCGGAUGAUGUCUUCGGACCAAAGAUUUAUCGGCAAGGGAUGAGCCCGCGUAGGAUUAGGUAGUUGGUGAGGUAAAGGCUCACCAAGCCGACGAUCUUUAGCUGGUCUGAGAGGAUGAUCAGCCACACUGGGACUGAGACACGGCCCAGACUCCUACGGGAGGCAGCAGUGGGGAAUAUUGGACAAUGGGCGAAAGCCUGAUCCAGCAAUGCCGCGUGAGUGAUGAAGGCCUUAGGGUUGUAAAGCUCUUUUACCCGGGAUGAUAAUGACAGUACCGGGAGAAUAAGCUCCGGCUAACUCCGUGCCAGCCGCCGCGGUAAUAC
RNAcentral lists this ribosomal RNA (430 nucleotides) under uncultured soil bacterium. RNAcentral describes it as "bacterial SSU rRNA". It matches the Rfam family "Bacterial small subunit ribosomal RNA", at positions 50 to 526 of the family's 1533-position model. The record is from RNAcentral.